This 1471-nucleotide long non-coding RNA is filed under the name Mus caroli (Ryukyu mouse). RNAcentral describes it as "lncRNA (MGP_CAROLIEiJ_G0002870.1)". The record is from RNAcentral. Lineage: Eukaryota; Metazoa; Chordata; Mammalia; Rodentia; Muridae.
GGGAAGGAGCUGAGGCUUGGCACUGUAAGAGGCCAGGAGAGGCCACUGGUGAAGUUUCAGCUUCAGUGUCAGUUGAUCAUUGAGGACUGAAAGGGAGGUGGCAAAGAAGUUGAGGCUUGGCACCUUGAAGACCAUCUAUGAGAGGUGACUAGUUAAAGUUCAGCCCAUGUGCACCAGAAGACAUCAUUAUUUUGGAUAGAUGCAAGUACCAUGGGGGUAACCACCAAGACCAUAAGAAGAAGUGGAGUGGAGUCAGCCUAGAGGAAAAGCUUUGUGUGAUACAGAGGGAGAGCUGGGGAAAUGACACAAAAUUCUCCAGUCUUCUUUGGAGAGACCUAGAAGAUUGUGUGGAUCCCAGACUUAGGAUAUUGAGUUAAGCAUACUGACGAAGCCUAGUUUUGUUUGGCUCAGAUUAUAACUGUGCUCUGGUUCUUUCUUCUUAAGGAAGGUUCCAGUCCUGCUUGUGUCCUGUCCUGACAGCCUCCAUUGAUCAACUAUAUUCUGGAAGUGUAAGCAGGUAAAUGAAGCCUUUCCUCCACAACGUGCUUUUUGGACAUGGUAUUUAGUUCCAGUGCAUGGACCUUGGUGUUGACUGAUACCACAGUGUUGACUCAUCUCAAGCAUACAGUUCUAUGGAAAUGACCUUUGAACCGCAGUUCGACAAUGUUGACCUUUCCUCUGCAGUUUCACAGUGAUGACUUUGGGUCUGCAUUUUUGACCUUGGGUCUAUAACAGCAAAGUGUUCACCAUAGACUAACAUAGGCAACCUUUGAACAUCUUCAUGAUAAUGGUGCUAUAUGCAUGAAAACAUCUGAAAGAAAAUGUCUUUUCUACAUUUUGUUCUUCCAGCAGCUUUGCCAACUUUAUGCUUACUCUUUGAAUUUCAUUCUUCCUUCUUUCCAUGUUUAAUUAUAGUUUUUAUUUAGAAAAACAUAGCUUCUGAUUAUGUUCUAUACUGACACUUAGAGAAAUUUGGUCCAGUUCAUCAUCUCUCAGCUAUCUCUGCAAUUCCUCCUUCUAGGAUCCUUGUAGUCACCUCAUACAACAACAUUUGCUCACUGAUUUUUAUUUUUUGUUUUUGCUUUUUUUAAUCAGGCAGAGUUCAAUUUCCUGAAACUUCUCAUUUGAUUUCCUAGUACUAUGGUUCAGUUAAUCCUAACCUCAUGAUCAUGGCAAACUUAGGUUAUGUUCUGGCUCACUACUUAAAUUAAUGCCUCUAUUUUCCUUUUCCCAACUUUGUUUCAGUACAUCUAAAACCAUCAAACAGACAAUAUAUUGUAAUGUCAGUGAUUAAGGAGAGAGCUUAUUCUGCAAUGAGAGGACUGCAAAGCUACAUUAUCUCCAUUGAGGCUAUUCAACUUUAUUUCUCAGUAUCUGUAUCUGGUAUAAGGAUACAAUAAAACCUAAUAUACAGGACUGUUGUGAAAUUAAGUAUAAUAGUUCAUGAAAAAUACAUAAUAAAUACUAUUUG